AAACACACAUAUACAGUCAUACACGCACACACAGACAGACAUGCACACACACACAUACAUAUACAUAAAACAAACUCUAGCACUUUGGCCCUGUGCCACUGCAAAGUCCAAUCUUUGCGUAAAUCUAGUAAGCCGGACUGAGCCACACCGUGAACAAGCCCCCCACUCCUCAGGCCCAGGGCGUUAAAGGACCAGAGUGACUUCCACGCAGUGUGAGGUCUUCUCAAGACAUCAGUCUUCAGAGAAGGCCUGGGAAGGGGAGGAAGGAGCGGUCUAUGUUCUGGAGCCCACAGCUAAUCAGCCAGAGGGUCUUCAAUCAGAGAUAAUUUGGGGACAAAGAGAUUAGGCCCAUUUGAACUCAGAUAAAAUUCCGUUCCUGAGUCUCUGUCCCACACUCUCAAGGCAGCUGCAAGGCUGUCUCAGCGCCCUGCAGAGUUAUACUUUAACCAGCCCCUCAGAUAAGAGCUGUGAUAUUACUUAUGAACGUCUGAAUCUAAACAGAGGCGCAGGAAGUCAUAUCAGCGUGAGGUUCAGUGCAGCCUCCUGGGAAACUCAUUUCCUGAUUCUUCUCUGAGAUCCUCACUUUAACUGAAUUUAAUGUGUUUAUUUUUGUUAAUGACUACAGGAAAGCUGGAAUGAAUUUUGAGGUUAAAAGGGAAUUUGAAGAGCCAACCUGCAACUUUUACUUGCAAAAGGGCACAGGGACAUGCUUCGCGCGUGUGUCGCCGACUCUCCUGCACAGCACUUCACAGAACAAGAAAGGGCGGGGUGGGCUGGCUGUUGCCAGGCCUGCAGCACCCUGUGAUUCUUGGGAGGGGUUCAGAGAGACAGGCUGGAACAGGACCCAUCUCUGCUCUGUUUCAUAAACCACCGUGCGGAAGGGCCGGUGAGCACUGACUUAGUACAGAAGUGACAGGGAGGAGGAUGUAGAGGGAGGCAGCUGGUUUUGGAGGAGUGAAGUCAGUGGUGUGGCUUACCACCACGGAGCCCUCGUCCUGGGAAGAGGCAGAAAAGUGUCAGCAUUUCCUAUUCCCAGGUGGGGAUGGCGUGGUGCCAGUACCCUGCUGUGUAGGGAGGGAAGGGCCCUGGGGUCCGUCUUGGGAGCUGGACUCUGAGCUGUGGCAUCCAUGCAGGCCAAGAGGGUGGGCUGGAGAGCCUGGCGCUGCGUGUACUUCCUGAUUUUGCUGCUUACUAGCUCGAGACCUUGGCAAGAGAUGUAAGCACCCCAGGCUCCAGUUUCCCCAUGCGUAGAAGGCGCUAAUCAGAGGGUGGAAUGAAUUAAUCCACACAGAGCACUUGGUUGGUGCCAAUGGAGAGUCCUACGUAGGUGUCAGGGACCGUCAGCGCCCCUUCCUGAGUGUCGGAUCCAUCCCCACUGUGCCAUUCCUUUUGCAGUGGCCUUGUCUUUGGCCACCACCUUGUCUUGCCUGGACUACUGCAGCAUUCCCCAAAACAUCUGCUGGAAAAUACAUUCCCGCACGGUGCUCUGGCUUUUGUGAUGAGGCUCCAUCUCUCUGGCCUGGGGAGGUCCACCCCUCCUCUGCCAUGCCCGGCUUGGAGCGCCUUCACCCAGUGCUGGGGUCCCAAGACAGGGCAAGCCCUGUCCUACUGCUUGGCCUGCAGGACUCUGGCCUCUUGAGGGCAAGGGGCUGCCUGGCGUAUGCACCACUGUCCUCCAGAGACAGGCAGGGUGCUUGUGGCCGCUGAGCCGUCCUCCCGGAGCCUGGCACGUGGCCUUCCGGACAGCUAGCCCUCCGCCCAAGCCCCACUGCUUUGACCUCUGACCUGCUUCAUUACCCCCUGCACCGUCAGCUCCAUAUUCAUUGGCAAAUUUUGGGAGAUAAGAAAUUUUGUCUUACUUACAUUACUUUCACCUGAGCUUAACACUGGCAGAUAAAUGCUCAAGAAAUAACUAAGUAAAAUGUCUAAAGGCUGAUGAAUAUGCUUCAAUAACACCACAAUUCUGGCUCUGUAGUGAUCAUUCAGGUUGAAUAAUUACGUUUAGCUGCAAUCCUUUGUAGAAUUUGCUAGAAUAAAUAAAAAUAAUCCAAACACUGAGAUAGCUGGUAACUGGAUCAGUUGUCUGCUCUCUGGCCUACCCACCGUCUCACUGCCUCGGUGGUUGCUGAGGUGCUUGCAGAGCCGCUGAAUCACUACCCUGGGCCAUGCCUCGAACUCUGCCGCUCGGAUCCUAAUCUGCAGAUGGCAGAGCCGUGGGGGGGGGCUGCCCUGGGCAGUGAGGCUAGAGCCCACUGAGACCUGGCAGGAGGUUGGACAUCAGACGUGGCACAGAAGAAGCCAGAUCUGGUUUCCAGGACAGCCUCUUUGGACUAAGGGACAGUGGCUUCCUCAGUUCUUCAUCCAGCAUGACUGCCAUUCUCUCACACCCCUACUCAUCCAUUGUGACGUCACUUCAUGAUUCAUCAACCUGGAUUUCCCAGCAUGGCCCCGGCUCCAGCAGAGUGGAAUCACCUCCCUUCCCCAUGUGCGCACUUUGCCGGCCCGGCCGGUCUUCACCCCGCCCCUUCUAGCAGCGCACAUGCGCCGGCAGUUCUCAGCAAGGGACAGACACCCCAUCACCACAGCCAUUCAGAUACAGUGGAAUAAGCUUCUCUCGUGAACUAAAGAGCAAAUCUAGCAGAGACAGAGUUCAAUGCCGGCAACAUGAAAGGACUUCAAAAUGAAGCUAAACAAAGUGCAAUAAGCACACAGCGUAAAUCACAGGUUGAAGCUGUGUGUAAAUAUUAUACAGAAGACUAUCUUGGAAACUUUCAGGCCCUGAAAAACUCAAACUCACGAAUUCAGGUAACUCAUGCUUAAAAAGGCCCACAGUAAGCUGAAUUCUGCUCUGCGGCAGACAUUGCUAUAUUAAGGUCUUUUGUUUUUCUCCAUCAUGCUUGUAAAAGGCUGAUUUUAGGGGUCAAAUAAACUUGUAUUUAUGUAGUGACUAGCAUCA
This is a non-coding RNA of Microcebus murinus (gray mouse lemur), 2956 nucleotides long. NCBI's taxonomy places the organism in Eukaryota, Metazoa, Chordata, Mammalia, Primates, Cheirogaleidae. The record is from RefSeq and is a predicted model, not a curated record.